CGUACACUCCUACGGGAGGCAGCAGUGGGGAAUAUUGCACAAUGGGCGCAAGCCUGAUGCAGCGACGCCGCGUGGGGGAUGAAGGCCUUCGGGUUGUAAACUCCUUUCGCUAGGGACGAAGCUUUUUUGUGACGGUACCUAGAUAAGAAGCACCGGCUAACUACGUGCCAGCAGCCGCGGUAAUACGUAGGGUGCGAGCGUUGUCCGGAAUUACUGGGCGUAAAGGGCUCGUAGGUGGUUUGUCGCGUCGUCUGUGAAAUUCUGGGGCUUAACUCCGGGCGUGCAGGCGAUACGGGCAUAACUUGAGUGCUGUAGGGGUAACUGGAAUUCCUGGUGUAGCGGUGAAAUGCGCAGAUAUCAGGAGGAACACCGAUGGCGAAGGCAGGUUACUGGGCAGUUACUGACGCUGAGGAGCGAAAGCAUGGGUAGCGAACAGGAUUAGAAACCCUAGUAGUCCCAUG
This 461-nucleotide ribosomal RNA is filed under the name uncultured organism. RNAcentral describes it as "partial 16S ribosomal RNA". It matches the Rfam family "Bacterial small subunit ribosomal RNA", at positions 330 to 799 of the family's 1533-position model. The record is from RNAcentral.